CUAGUUCUGAUGAUAACCACUUGAAAUUAUUGUCAGAUUCUACAAAUUUAAGGGCACAAUUUCCCUAAAGAUCUGCUGCCUCAUAUUAGAUGGCCACCCACAUGUUUGGGAAGGUGAGUAAUCUGUUUAUAGUUCCAGUUGACUAGGAAGGCACUUAAUAGUCUCCCACAGGCACUUAAAGUAGAAUGACUAGCAAGAAACUCCAGGAAGCCCUACACAAAAGAUUACAGUUUCAUCAUAAAGACUAUAUAUUGGAAUAGCGGCCAGACGAAAACCUGAAUGAAAGAGAAGAAUACAAAGAAAAAAACCCACAAUACCAGAUUUGGGAUACUUUCCUAUGCUUUGUUGGUCAGAGAGGUCUCAGAAGCAUCCAAAGCAAUAUGGAUUAUCAUCACUGCUUUUGAUUGGUUGCCCACAAGAACAUGAAGCACCACAUUAGUCAUGUUAGUGACUGAUGCCUGGGAGAACAGAGGAUAUACCUUCACAGCAGUCACCAAUGUCACUGGUACUUUCCUGGGAUCCUUGUUACCU
This 531-nucleotide long non-coding RNA is filed under the name Cricetulus griseus (Chinese hamster). RNAcentral's name for it is "lncRNA (ENSCGRG00015032513.1)". The record is from RNAcentral. Lineage: Eukaryota; Metazoa; Chordata; Mammalia; Rodentia; Cricetidae.